CAGAGGGACACACACACACACAGACAGAGGGACACACACACACACAGACAGAGGGACACACACACACACAGACAGAGGGACACACACACACAGACAGAGGGACACACACACACAGACAGAGGGACACACACACACAGAGGGACACACACACACAGACAGAGGGACACACACACACAGACAGAGGGACACACACACACAGACAGAGGGACACACACACACAGACAGAGGGACACACACACACAGACAGAGGGACACACACACACAGACAGAGGGACACACACACAGACAGAGGGACACACACACAGACAGAGGGACACACACACAGACAGAGGGACACACACACAGACAGAGGGACAGAGAGAGAGAGGAAGGCAUUCCUCACGUUGUAGAGCCUGGGUAGCGAGGACACUCUGGAAGACUUGGCUCCAAACGGCCGGGGGGUGAAGCCGGCAGAGAGGCAGGACGAAGAGCCUCUCUCCCCGGCGGUAUCCCCUGGGGAGAGAGGCAGAGAGGCUGUGGGAGCUGGUACCGUUGGUUAGGUUUGAGCCGGUACCGUUCACCAGGUCAGAGGUCGUGGAGAUCCCGUUUGAGAGCAUGGAGAUGGUCUGGUCUCGUCCAGUGGAGACCACGAGAGCUGGGCUAGAGAUGGUCUGGUCUCGUCCAGUGGAGACCACGAGAGCUGGGCUAGAGAUGGUCUGGUCUCAUCCAGUGGAGACCACGAGAGCUGGGCUAGAGAUGGUCUGGUCUCGUCCAGUGGAGACCACGAGAACUGGCCUAGAGAUGCUCUGGGCACGGGUCUGGGAGGAGAAGGGAGAGGCAGAGUCGGGGAAAGCGCCUAAACCUCCAGCUCCGUCUGGCUCCACCGGUGUGUGACGCCGCCUCUCCCCCAGGACGAGGGGCUCUGAUUGGGGCACGGCUCCGGCCGAGGGUCCCUGGUCCUGGAGGGUCAGGCUGGGGGUGGUGAAGGGUUCCGAGGCUCCGGAGCUGUAGGGGGACUCCACGGAGGAGCUGAGGGCCAGCGGGGCUCUGGUGUGGGGUCGGAGCUCCAGGGAACCCUCCUUGACCGAGGCGGGGGCUCUGGUUUGGGCUCGGAGCUCUAGGGAACCCUCCUUGAAAGAAGUGGCGAGAGAGACCUUGUUGUAGCUACUGCUGCAUAGGGACUCUUCAUCCUCUUCCCUGUGGUACCAGAUGAAAAGAGGAGUGGUAACAUAUGA
RNAcentral lists this long non-coding RNA (1214 nucleotides) under Salmo salar (Atlantic salmon). Its description in RNAcentral is "lncRNA (ENSSSAG00000100888.1)". Lineage: Eukaryota; Metazoa; Chordata; Actinopteri; Salmoniformes; Salmonidae. The record is from RNAcentral.